This 815-nucleotide ribosomal RNA is filed under the name uncultured bacterium. Its description in RNAcentral is "bacterial SSU rRNA". It matches the Rfam family "Bacterial small subunit ribosomal RNA", at positions 8 to 808 of the family's 1533-position model. The record is from RNAcentral.
AGAGUUUGAUCCUGGCUCAGGACGAACGCUGGCGGCGUGCCUAAUACAUGCAAGUAGAACGCUGAAGGAGGAGCUUGCUUCUCUGGAUGAGUUGCGAACGGGUGAGUGACGCGUAGGUAACCUGCCUGGUAGCGGGGGAUAACUAUUGGAAACGAUAGCUAAUACCGCAUAAUAGUAGAUGUUGCAUGACAUUUGCUUAAAAGGUGCAAUUGCAUCACUACCAGAUGGACCUGCGUUGUAUUAGCUAGUAGGUGAGGUAACGGCUCACCUAGGCGACGAUACAUAGCCGACCUGAGAGGGUGAUCGGCCACACUGGGACUGAGACACGGCCCAGACUCCUACGGGAGGCAGCAGUAGGGAAUCUUCGGCAAUGGACGAAAGUCUGACCGAGCAACGCCGCGUGAGUGAAGAAGGUUUUCGGAUCGUAAAGCUCUGUUGUAAGAGAAGAACGGGUGUGAGAGUGGAAAGUUCACACUGUGACGGUAUCUUACCAGAAAGGGACGGCUAACUACGUGCCAGCAGCCGCGGUAAUACGUAGGUCCCGAGCGUUGUCCGGAUUUAUUGGGCGUAAAGCGAGCGCAGGCGGUUAGAUAAGUCUGAAGUUAAAGGCUGUGGCUUAACCAUAGUACGCUUUGGAAACUGUUUAACUUGAGUGCAGAAGGGGAGAGUGGAAUUCCAUGUGUAGCGGUGAAAUGCGUAGAUAUAUGGAGGAACACCGGUGGCGAAAGCGGCUCUCUGGUCUGUAACUGACGCUGAGGUUCGAAAGCGUGGGGAGCGAACAGGAUUAGAUACCCUGGUAGUCCACGCCGUAAACG